This is a long non-coding RNA of Loxodonta africana (African savanna elephant), 1330 nucleotides long. RefSeq lists it as uncharacterized. Lineage: Eukaryota; Metazoa; Chordata; Mammalia; Proboscidea; Elephantidae. The record is from RefSeq and is a predicted model, not a curated record. The transcript has 3 exons.
UGUAUCUAAUAAAAUGAAAUCCUUGACAACUUCAAUCUUUUCUCCUUCACUCAAGGAAGUAGCUAGUAUAAAAGUAAGGACAGUAGUUACUUUUAGGAGGAGAGAGAUGCUUGAGAUGGGAGGGAAGCAGAGAGGGGGCUCCGGAGUAGCUGGAAAAGUUCUAUUUGUUGACGUGGGUGGUGGUUACAGGGUGUUCACCUACACAUUCGUGUUGUGUAGUUUUCUGUAUAUUGGAGGCUUGAUUCGUACCAAGAGCUAACUCCGAUGCCCUUGCCUAUAGUGCCCAGAGGGCAGCCACUUCCAGGCAGGAGAAAGGAAGGCACGGAGAAGCCUUAAGCAGGGGUGUCUACACUUCAGAGCUGGGGACGUGUCCCAGGCGGCCCGCAGGGGACGACGGCAGGGGGCGCUGCAGGCACACUGGGACCUACGAGGGGACUGCGGUUCCGACCUGGGCCCCGGGACGCCCAGAGGCCUCUCUUCCCAGUCCAACUCUGAACGGGAAAGCCCCCAAUUCUCUUCCCCUGACUUCCAGUUCUCAGUGGGGUCGUAAGCCUGCAGAAGUCUCCAGCCUGCCGCCUGACCUGCAGAUUGUGGAUUCACCAGUCCAUGCAACCCUGUGAGCCACCAGAGAUCUCCAGCCAGCCUGCCACCAAACCCACGGAUUUGGAACUUGCCAGUUCCCACAAUUGUGUGAGCCAUUUCCUUGAAGUAAAUCUCUCUCUAUAUAUCUCAAUGAGCCCUGGUGGCAUGGUGGCUAAGAGCUCGGCUGCUAACCAAAAGGCCAGCAGUUUACAUCCAGCAGCCACUCCUUGGAAACCCUACGGUGGUUCUACUCUGUCCCAGAGGGUGACUGUGAGUUGGGAUCCACUUAAUUGUAGUGGGUUUUGGUUUUUGGCUUGGCUUCUUCCUUCUACUUAUUAAAAGUCUUUUUUAUUGCUCUUGUUCUAUCUCCUAGAAAUAAACACUUAGUACUUUAAAAUUUUCAGCCAUUCUGUUUCUCAAAUAUAAGCAUUUAAGACCCAACAUUCCCCUCCAAAAUGGUUUUUGCUGCAUCCCAUGACUUUGGAUAGUCUCGCCUCUUCUAUGCUUUUGUAUAAAUUGAUUCAUAUAUGUAUACUUUUGUGUUCAACUUCCUCCACUCAGAAUUGUGGGAUUUAUCCAUUUUGUUGAUUGACAGAGUAGUUCAUUCCUCUUUAUUGCUAAGUAGUAUUCUAUUGUAUAAAUAUAUUGCAACUUGUUUAUCCAUUGUCUGUUGGUGGACAUGUAGGCUGUGUAUUACUUUCCUUGGGCUAAUUCAAUCCAUAAUAGGUUGUUUUUAGCGUUUGGCUGU